GGGCUCAUAGUCCAGUGGCAAGACACAACGUUCGCAACGUUGAGACCCGAGUUCGAUUCUCGGUGAGUCCA
Molecule: transfer RNA, 71 nt
Filed under: Candidatus Pacearchaeota archaeon CG10_big_fil_rev_8_21_14_0_10_35_13
Lineage: Archaea; Nanobdellati
Description: tRNA-Ala
Rfam family: tRNA
About the family: Transfer RNA (tRNA) molecules are approximately 80 nucleotides in length. Their secondary structure includes four short double-helical elements and three loops (D, anti-codon, and T loops).
Source: RNAcentral